Molecule: non-coding RNA, 84 nt
Filed under: Stenotrophomonas indicatrix
Lineage: Bacteria; Pseudomonadati; Pseudomonadota; Gammaproteobacteria; Lysobacterales; Lysobacteraceae
Source: RNAcentral
GGCUGCGGCGGGCGGAGCGUGGAGGCCUUGUGCCUGCCGGUUCAUUGUCCCGGUUUUCGAGCCACGUCUCCGCCCGCCACCUUU